This 462-nucleotide ribosomal RNA is filed under the name uncultured bacterium. RNAcentral describes it as "partial 16S ribosomal RNA". It matches the Rfam family "Bacterial small subunit ribosomal RNA", at positions 28 to 507 of the family's 1533-position model. The record is from RNAcentral.
GACGAACGCUGGCGGCGUGCUUAACACAUGCAAGUCGAACGGAAAGGCCCUUCGGGGUACUCGAGUGGCGAACGGGUGAGUAACACGUGGGUGAUCUGCCCUGCACUUUGGGAUAAGCCUGGGAAACUGGGUCUAAUACCGAAUAGGACCACGCGCUUCAUGGUGUGUGGUGGAAAGCUUUUGCGGUGUGGGAUGGGCCCGCGGCCUAUCAGCUUGUUGGUGGGGUAAUGGCCUACCAAGGCGACGACGGGUAGCCGGCCUGAGAGGGUGACCGGCCACACUGGGACUGAGAUACGGCCCAGACUCCUACGGGAGGCAGCAGUGGGGAAUAUUGCACAAUGGGCGCAAGCCUGAUGCUGCGACGCCGCGUGAGGGAUGACGGCCUUCGGGUUGUAAACCUCUUUCAAUAGGGACGAAGCGCAAGUGACGGUACCUAUAGAAGAAGCACCGGCCAACUACGUG